AUCACUUCUCGGCCUUUUGGCUAAGAUCAAGUGUAAUAUCUGUUCUUAUCAGUUAAAUAUCAGAUAUGUCCUCCAUCCAAGGACAAUAUAUUAAAUGGAUUAUUGGAGCUUGGAGUUGGAAUAGGAGCUUACUCUGUCCACUCUAUGCAUCGACCUGGUGUUGCAGUACUUCCAGGAAUGGUGCACCCCCU
Jaculus jaculus (lesser Egyptian jerboa) is the source of this 191-nucleotide small nuclear RNA. RefSeq annotates it as U2 spliceosomal RNA. The record is from RefSeq and is a predicted model, not a curated record. Lineage: Eukaryota; Metazoa; Chordata; Mammalia; Rodentia; Dipodidae. The transcript has a single exon.